This 374-nucleotide ribosomal RNA is filed under the name uncultured bacterium. RNAcentral describes it as "bacterial SSU rRNA". It matches the Rfam family "Bacterial small subunit ribosomal RNA", at positions 523 to 898 of the family's 1533-position model. The record is from RNAcentral.
AUACGGAGGGUGCAAGCGUUAUCCGGAUUCACUGGGUUUAAAGGGUGCGCAGGCGGAUUUAUAAGUCAGAGGUGAAAUCUGUAGGCUUAACCUACAAACUGCCUUUGAUACUAUAGAUCUUGAAUGUCGCUGAGGUCAGCGGAAUAUAACAUGUAGCGGUGAAAUGCAUAGAUAUGUUAUAGAACACCGAUUGCGAAGGCAGCUGACUAAAGAACGAUUGACGCUGAGGCACGAAAGCGUGGGUAGCGAACAGGAUUAGAUACCCUGGUAGUCCACGCCCUAAACGAUGAUUACUCGACAUUUGCGAUACGAUAGUAAGUGUCUGAGCGAAAGCAUUAAGUAAUCCACCUGGGAAGUACGACCGCAAGGUUGAA